This is an RNA transcript of Dermacentor silvarum, 2077 nucleotides long. It is a transcript of the gene named catalase-like, with no coding region annotated. NCBI's taxonomy places the organism in Eukaryota, Metazoa, Arthropoda, Arachnida, Ixodida, Ixodidae. The record is from RefSeq and is a predicted model, not a curated record. The transcript is spliced from 13 exons.
CAGCACAACAGCUGAGGGGAGGCGUGUUCGUAGCGUCCGUGGAAGCCGUAGUUUCUGUCGUCUCUCUCUAAGCGGCGUGCGUGUGUGUGUUUUAGCACGUCAACUUUCGCGGCAACUUUCGGUUCUCCUAUUUUUUUCCGACUUACUUCUUCUUUCGGCUUCGUCUUCUUCCGGCUCCCGGUGAUUUCUUCUUCUGUGCCCGAGCUUCGAAAGUAGCCCCCGCAACAUCGACCCAGAGCAAUGGAACGUGACAAGGCAUCCGACCAGCUCAAGGAAUACAAGGAGACCCACAAGCCGGAGCCCCUGACCACCUCGUGGGGUGCCCCCGUCUCGGACAAGACCAAUGUGCUCACCGUUGGACCCCGCGGUCCCGUGCUGCUGCAAGAUGUCGUCUUCCUCGACGAAAUGGCGCACUUCGACAGGGAGCGUAUCCCGGAGCGUGUCGUCCACGCCAAGGGCGCCGGAGCGUUUGGCUACUUCGAAGUGACCCACGACAUCACCAAGUACACCAAGGCCUCCAUCUUCAGUCAGGUUGGCAAGAGGACUCCCAUGGCCGUGCGCUUCUCCACCGUCGGUGGAGAGAGUGGCUCAGCGGACACUGUUCGUGAUCCUCGUGGCUUCGCCGUCAAGUUCUACACUGAUGAAGGCAACUGGGAUCUUGUUGGCAACAACACACCCAUCUUCUUCAUCCGGGACCCAUUCUUCUUCCCUAGUUUCAUCCACACGCAGAAGCGGAACCCGGCCACCCACCUGAAGGAUGCCGACAUGUUCUGGGACUUCAUCAGCCUCCGCCCAGAGACCACGCACCAGGUCAUGUUCCUCUUCUCCGACCGUGGUAUCCCCGACGGUUACAGGCACAUGAAUGGCUAUGGCUCGCACACCUUCAAGCUGGUCAACUCCAAGGGCGAAGCUGUCUACUGCAAGUUCCACUACAAGACUGACCAGAAGAUCAAGAACCUGCCCGUGCAGAAGGCAGACGAAUACGCAUCCAAGGACCCCGACUAUUCCAUUCGUGACCUCUACAAUGCCAUCGCCAACAAGCAGUACCCAUCUUGGACCUUCUACAUCCAAGUUAUGACCUUUGAACAGGCAAAGACCUGGAAGUUCAACCCCUUCGACUUGACAAAGGUGUGGCCUCAUAGCGAGUUCCCCUUGAUUCCGGUGGGCAAGAUGGUGCUGGACCGCAACCCGAAGAACUACUUCUCCGAAGUGGAGCAGAUUGCUUUCUGUCCUGCAAACCUUGUACCGGGCAUCGAGCCCAGUCCCGACAAGAUGCUUCAGGGACGUCUGUUCUCCUACAGCGACACGCACAGGCACCGCCUUGGACCCAACUUCUUGCAGAUCCCGGUGAACUGCCCCUACAAGGCACGCACAGCCAACUACGAGCGCGAUGGUUUUAUGGCUGUGAAGGAACAAGAUGGAGCACCAAACUACUUCCCAAACAGCUUCUCUGGACCGGUGGAUAACCCCAAGCUGAAGGAGCACAGCUUCCCAGUUUCUGGUGAUGUUGACCGUUGGAACAGUGGUGACGAGGACAACUUCACUCAGCCAGGCAACUUCUGGAAGAUGCUGAGUGCUGAGGAAAGGGACCGCUUGACCUCCAACAUUGCCAACCACCUGAAGGAUGCUCAGGACUUCAUCCGCCAGCGGGCUGUAACAAACUUCACCAAGGCACACCCCGAAUGCGGUGGCCAGAUCGCCAAGAAGCUUGAAAAGCUCGUGCAGUCUUCUUCAGUGAAGAAUGUGUUUCCAAAUCGAUUUUUCCCAAAGUAGCGACAACUUUGCGCUCGACUGAAGCAAAGCCAUUAAUUCUGAGACCUGGUUCUUGCGCCGCUCCAGCAACACAGCUAGCGCGAAACUUUGAGGAUCAUCUACUACAUGAACCCUUCACUGAGCUACUUCAUCCUGGGAGAUGGUGCACAUAGGCCUUAAUCUGCUGCCAAUAACUGUUGCUGUUUCACGGGCGCUGCGUCACGUUACUCACCAGCACUGCUGCUAUGGUGUCCUUUACUUAACUUGAUUGUUAUACUUCCCUUUUCUUCUUGUUGCUGGUCAAUAAACAUUUGUUUGCUCUUUU